UUAGGAAUCUGCCUAUUAGUGGGGGACAACAUUCCGAAAGGAAUGCUAAUACCGCAUACGCCCUACGGGGGAAAGCAGGGGAUCUUCGGACCUUGCGCUAAUAGAUGAGCCUAAGUCAGAUUAGCUAGUUGGUGGGGUAAAGGCCUACCAAGGCGACGAUCUGUAGCGGGUCUGAGAGGAUGAUCCGCCACACUGGGACUGAGACACGGCCCAGACUCCUACGGGAGGCAGCAGUGGGGAAUAUUGGACAAUGGGCGAAAGCCUGAUCCAGCCAUGCCGCGUGUGUGAAGAAGGCCUUUUGGUUGUAAAGCACUUUAAGCGAGGAGGAGGCUACCGAGAUUAAUACUCUUGGAUAGUGGACGUUACUCGCAGAAUAAGCACCGGCUAACUCUGUGCCAGCAGCCGCGGUAAUACAGAGGGUGCGAGCGUUAAUCGGAUUUACUGGGCGUAAAGCGUGCGUAGGCGGCUUUUUAAGUCGGAUGUGAAAUCCCUGAGCUUAACUUAGGAAUUGCAUUCGAUACUGGGAAGCUAGAGUAUGGGAGAGGAUGGUAGAAUUCCAGGUGUAGCGGUGAAAUGCGUAGAGAUCUGGAGGAAUACCGAUGGCGAAGGCAGCCAUCUGGCCUAAUACUGACGCUGAGGUACGAAAGCAUGGGGAGCAAACAGGAUUAG
This 669-nucleotide ribosomal RNA is filed under the name Acinetobacter sp. JA09-2. RNAcentral describes it as "bacterial SSU rRNA". It matches the Rfam family "Bacterial small subunit ribosomal RNA", at positions 117 to 781 of the family's 1533-position model. Lineage: Bacteria; Pseudomonadati; Pseudomonadota; Gammaproteobacteria; Moraxellales; Moraxellaceae. The record is from RNAcentral.